CUCAGGAUGAACGCUGGCGGCGUGCCUAAUACAUGCAAGUCGAACGAGUUCUCGUUGAUGAUCGGUGCUUGCACCGAGAUUCAACAUGGAACGAGUGGCGGACGGGUGAGUAACACGUGGGUAACCUGCCCUUAAGUGGGGGAUAACAUUUGGAAACAGAUGCUAAUACCGCAUAGAUCCAAGAACCGCAUGGUUCUUGGCUGAAAGAUGGCGUAAGCUAUCGCUUUUGGAUGGACCCGCGGCGUAUUAGCUAGUUGGUGAGGUAAUGGCUCACCAAGGCGAUGAUACGUAGCCGAACUGAGAGGUUGAUCGGCCACAUUGGGACUGAGACACGGCCCAAACUCCUACGGGAGGCAGCAGUAGGGAAUCUUCCACAAUGGACGCAAGUCUGAUGGAGCAACGCCGCGUGAGUGAAGAAGGCUUUCGGGUCGUAAAACUCUGUUGUUGGAGAAGAAUGGUCGGCAGAGUAACUGUUGUCGGCGUGACGGUAUCCAACCAGAAAGCCACGGCUAACUACGUGCCAGCAGCCGCGGUAAUACGUAGGUGGCAAGCGUUAUCCGGAUUUAUUGGGCGUAAAGCGAGCGCAGGCGGUUUUUUAAGUCUGAUGUGAAAGCCCUCGGCUUAACCGAGGAAGCGCAUCGGAAACUGGGAAACUUGAGUGCAGAAGAGGACAGUGGAACUCCAUGUGUAGCGGUGAAAUGCGUAGAUAUAUGGAAGAACACCAGUGGCGAAGGCGGCUGUCUGGUCUGUAACUGACGCUGAGGCUCGAAAGCAUGGGUAGCGAACAGGAUUAGAUA
This 797-nucleotide ribosomal RNA is filed under the name Lactobacillus casei group sp. RNAcentral describes it as "bacterial SSU rRNA". It matches the Rfam family "Bacterial small subunit ribosomal RNA", at positions 23 to 784 of the family's 1533-position model. Lineage: Bacteria; Bacillati; Bacillota; Bacilli; Lactobacillales; Lactobacillaceae. The record is from RNAcentral.